This 483-nucleotide ribosomal RNA is filed under the name uncultured bacterium. Its description in RNAcentral is "partial 16S ribosomal RNA". It matches the Rfam family "Bacterial small subunit ribosomal RNA", at positions 30 to 507 of the family's 1533-position model. The record is from RNAcentral.
AUUGAACGCUGGCGGCAGGCCUAACACAUGCCAGUCGAGCGGAUGAAGGGAGCUUGCUCCUGGAUUCAGCGGCGGACGGGUGAGUAAUGCCUAGGAAUCUGCCUGGUAGUGGGGGAUAACGUCCGGAAACGGGCGCUAAUACCGCAUACGUCCUGAGGGAGAAAGUGGGGGAUCUUCGGACCUCACGCUAUCAGAUGAGCCUAGGUCGGAUUAGCUAGUUGGUGGGGUAAAGGCCUACCAAGGCGACGAUCCGUAACUGGUCUGAGAGGAUGAUCAGUCACACUGGAACUGAGACCCGGUCCAGACCCCUACGGGAGGCAGCAGUGGGGAAAAUUGGCCAAGGGGCGAAAGCCUGAUCCAGCCAGGCCGCGUGUGUGAAGAAGGUCUUCGGAUUGUAAAGCACUUUAAGUUGGGAGGAAGGGCAGUAAGUUAAAACCUUGCUGUUUGACGUUACCAACAGAAUAAGCACCGGCUAACUUCGUG